GUCUGUUCAAACAUAGAUUCGUGAAGAUGAUCCUUCUCCUAGUAAUAAUCAGAUGACAUUUUAUCUUUUACCUAUAACUAUUCUUGUUACGGAUUUCUUAAAGGGCAGGAUCUUGAUGGUGUGCUUCCACCUUCCCUGGUGAAGCUACCCUACCUAAAGACGAUUGACCUCACUCGAAACUACCUCGCUGGUACAAUACCACCCGAAUGGGGUUCUACAAAGUUGGAAUACCUGUCCAUUACUGUAAACAAGUUAUCAGGACAAAUCCCAAACUACCUGGGAAACAUUACCACUCUUAUAUACAU
This is a long non-coding RNA of Alnus glutinosa, 305 nucleotides long. RefSeq lists it as uncharacterized. The transcript is spliced from 3 exons. The record is from RefSeq and is a predicted model, not a curated record. Lineage: Eukaryota; Viridiplantae; Streptophyta; Magnoliopsida; Fagales; Betulaceae.